Molecule: ribosomal RNA, 1343 nt
Filed under: uncultured bacterium
Lineage: Bacteria
Description: bacterial SSU rRNA
Rfam family: Bacterial small subunit ribosomal RNA
Source: RNAcentral
GACGAACGCUGGGUUGCGUGCCUAACACAUGCAAGUCGAACGUGAUCUCUAUACUUGUAUAGGGUGAAAGUGGCGAACGGGUGAGUAACACGUUGGUGACCUGCCCCGAGGAGCGGGAUAACUCCUUGAAAGAGGAGCUAAUACCGCAGAUGACUGGACUGUUAGAGGGUCCAGCCUAAAGCUCAGGCGUCUCGGGAGGGGCCUGCGGGCUAUCAGCUAGUUGGUGGGGUAAGAGCCUACCAAGGCGAAGACGGCUAGGGGGCGUGAGAGCGUGACCCCCCACAAGGGAACUGAGAAACGGUCCCUACUCCUACGGGAGGCAGCAGUGAGGAAUAUUGAGCAAUGGGCGCAAGCCUGACUCAGCAACGCCGCGUGGAUGAAGAAGGCCUUCGGGUUGUAAAAUCCUUUUCUGAGGGACGAUAAUGACGGUACCUCAGGAAUAAGUUCCGGCUAACUACGUGCCAGCAGCCGCGGUAAAACGUAGGGGACAAGCGUUAUCCGGAUUUACUGGGCGUAAAGCGCCCGUAGGCGGCUUAACAAGUUGGAUGUGAAAGCUCCCGGCUUAACUGGGAGAGGUCAUUCAAAACUGUUAGGCUAGAGGAUGGAAGAGGAGAGCGGAAUUCCCGGUGUAGUGGUGGAAUGCGUAGAGAUCGGGAGGAACACCAGUGGCGAAAGCGGCUCUCUGGUUCACACCUGACGCUGAGGGGCGAAAGCGUGGGGAGCGAACGGGAUUAGAUACCCCGGUAGUCCACGCUGUAAACGAUGGAUACUAGGUGUAGAGGGUCAUUAACCCCCUCUGUGCCGCAGCUAACGCGUUAAGUAUCCCGCCUGGGGAGUACGGCCGCAAGGUUAAAACUCAAAGGAAUUGACGGGGGCCCGCACAAGCAGCGGAGCGUGUGGUUUAAUUCGACGCAACGCGAAGAACCUUACCUGGGCUCGAACGGCUUUGGCAAGCUUUUAGAAAUAGAGGCCCUCCCGCAAGGGACUGAAGUCGAGGUGCUGCAUGGCUGUCGUCAGCUCGUGUCGUGAGAUGUUGGGUUAAGUCCCGCAACGAGCGCAACCCUUGUCCUGUGUUGCAACUAAUAGGCACUCUCAGGAGACCGCCAGCGAUAAGCUGGAGGAAGGUGGGGAUGACGUCAAGUCAUCAUGGCCUUUAUGUCCAGGGCUACACACGUGCUACAAUGGGCGGUACAGACCGUUGCAAACCCGCGAGGGGGAGCAAAUCGGAAAAAACCGUUCUCAGUUCGGAUUGCAGGCUGCAACUCGCCUGCAUGAAGCUGGAAUCGCUAGUAAUGGCAUAUCAGAACGAUGCCGUGAUACGUUCCCGGCCAUGACACACCGCC